RNAcentral lists this ribosomal RNA (253 nucleotides) under uncultured bacterium. RNAcentral describes it as "partial 16S ribosomal RNA". It matches the Rfam family "Bacterial small subunit ribosomal RNA", at positions 524 to 776 of the family's 1533-position model. The record is from RNAcentral.
UACGUAGGGACCUAGCGUUGUCCGGAAUCAUUGGGCGUAAAGCGCGCGUAGGCGGCCCGGUAAGUCCGUUGUAAAAGUCAAAGGCUCAACCUUUGAAAGCCGAUGGAUACUGCCGGGCUAGAGUACGGAAGAGGCGAGUAGAAUUCCUGGUGUAGCGGUGGAAUGCGCAGAUAUCAGGAGGAAUACCCAUAGCGAAGGCAGCUCGCUGGGACGUUACUGACGCUGAGGCGCGAAAGCGUGGGGAGCAAACAGG